Molecule: unclassified non-coding RNA, 340 nt
Filed under: uncultured fungus
Lineage: Eukaryota; Fungi
Description: sequence contains ITS1
Rfam family: 5.8S ribosomal RNA (bases 1-103)
Source: RNAcentral
GAAAUGCGAUACUUGGUGUGAAUUGCAGAACCGUGAGUCAUCAGAUUUUUGAACGCAACUGGCGCCGGCUGGCUCUCCAGUCGGCAUGCUUGUUUCAGUGUCUUUUUAUCUCAUCACCCAAAUCAUAAUGCGAGAGAUACCCUUCUCUUGUUAAACAUGAAAGCACUCUACGCUCUGCGAGCGGCUUCGUUUAUUCGAGGGUCGCACUCAAUGCAGCAGUCACAUUGCUCACAAUGUGAACUCAUUGAGAGUAGAGGCAGUGCAGGCUCGUCCUGCAAGUGCUUAGGCAAGCAAACUUUCAUUGCAUCUGAAAUCAAGCAGGACCACCCGCUGAACUUAA